This 1315-nucleotide ribosomal RNA is filed under the name uncultured bacterium. RNAcentral describes it as "partial 16S ribosomal RNA". It matches the Rfam family "Bacterial small subunit ribosomal RNA", at positions 87 to 1400 of the family's 1533-position model. The record is from RNAcentral.
AUAUCUUAGCGGCGGACGGGUGAGUAACACGUGGGUAACCUGCCCAAGAGACUGGGAUAACACCUGGAAACAGAUGCUAAUACCGGAUAACAACACUAGACGCACGUCUAGAGUUUGAAAGAUGGUUCUGCUAUCACUCUUGGAUGGACCUGCGGUGCAUUAGCUAGUUGGUAAGGUAACGGCUUACCAAGGCAAUGAUGCAUAGCCGAGUUGAGAGACUGAUCGGCCACAUUGGGACUGAGACACGGCCCAAACUCCUACGGGAGGCAGCAGUAGGGAAUCUUCCACAAUGGACGAAAGUCUGAUGGAGCAACGCCGCGUGAGUGAAGAAGGGUUUCGGCUCGUAAAGCUCUGUUGGUAGUGAAGAAAGAUAGAGGUAGUAACUGGCCUUUAUUUGACGGUAAUUACUUAGAAAGUCACGGCUAACUACGUGCCAGCAGCCGCGGUAAUACGUAGGUGGCAAGCGUUGUCCGGAUUUAUUGGGCGUAAAGCGAGUGCAGGCGGUUCAAUAAGUCUGAUGUGAAAGCCUUCGGCUCAACCGGAGAAUUGCAUCAGAAACUGUUGAACUUGAGUGCAGAAGAGGAGAGUGGAACUCCAUGUGUAGCGGUGGAAUGCGUAGAUAUAUGGAGGAACACCAGUGGCGAAGGCGGUCGCCUGGCCUGUAACUGACGCUGAGGCACGAAAGCGUGGGGAGCAAAUAGGAUUAGAUACCCUAGUAGUCCACGCUGUAAACGAUGGAUACUAAGUGUUGGGGAAACUCAGUGCUGCAGUUAACGCAAUAAGUAUCCCGCCUGGGGAGUAUGCACGCAAGUGUGAAACUCAAAGGAAUUGACGGGGGCCCGCACAAGCGGUGGAGUAUGUGGUUUAAUUCGACGCAACGCGAAAAACCUUACCAGGCCUUGACAUCCCUUGCGAAGCUUUAGAGAUAGAGUGGAGGAUAUCAAGGAGACAGGUGGUGCAUGGUUGUCGUCAGCUCGUGUCGUGAGAUGUUGGGUUAAGUCCCGCAACGAGCGCAACCCAUGUCUUUAGUUACCAUCAAGUAAAGUUGGGGACUCUAAAGAGACUGCCGGUGAUAAACCGGAGGAAGGUGGGGAUGACGUCAAAUCAUCAUGCCCCUUAUGGCCUGGGCUACACACGUACUACAAUGGCGCAUACAGACGGAAGCGAAGGAGCGAUCUGAAGCAAAACCGAGAAAGUGCGUCACAGUUCGGAUUGAAGUCUGCAACUCGACUUCAUGAAGCCGGAAUCGCUAGUAAUCGCAGAUCAGCAUGCUGCGGUGAAUACGUUCUCGGGCCUUGCACACACAGCCCGUCAA